Myotis lucifugus (little brown bat) is the source of this 46-nucleotide non-coding RNA. The record is from Rfam. NCBI's taxonomy places the organism in Eukaryota, Metazoa, Chordata, Mammalia, Chiroptera, Vespertilionidae.
CCAAAGGCUCUUUUCAGAGCCACCCACAACUUCAAUGAGAAGUGCU